UUGAAAGGGAAACGAUUGAAGUCAGUCGUACCUGCGGACAAUCAGCUUUUUGAGUGUGAUUAUGUGGAUUGUGAGGAGUUUAAUCACCCUCAUGUUUUACGUAUUCGUGCUCUUGGGUGUACUUGCCCGUGUGGUAGGUUAACAUCAAUUUUGGUCGUCAUAAAAUGACUGGAGGAAUGUAGCUUUGGUCUCGUAUCGAAGUGUUAUAGACUCUGGUAGAUGUGACGAUUGGGAUUGAGGAUUGCAACGGAUACCCUUCGGGGCUACUCGUCUGAUCUCUGAAGGUUGCUCCGGUGCCGAAAGCGUGCUUACGGUCAUCGAAAGUGAUUUUCAAAAGGUUAGAACGGGUUAAAUUCGUUAAGGAUGUUGACGUAAAUCACUAG
This 383-nucleotide ribosomal RNA is filed under the name uncultured Glomeromycotina. RNAcentral's name for it is "eukaryotic LSU rRNA". Lineage: Eukaryota; Fungi; Glomeromycota. The record is from RNAcentral.